RNAcentral lists this ribosomal RNA (478 nucleotides) under uncultured bacterium. RNAcentral describes it as "bacterial SSU rRNA". It matches the Rfam family "Bacterial small subunit ribosomal RNA", at positions 36 to 518 of the family's 1533-position model. The record is from RNAcentral.
CUGGCGGCGUGCUUAACACAUGCAAGUCGAACGGAGUUUUAACGGAAGUUUCGGAUGGAAGUUAAAACUUAGUGGCGGACGGGUGAGUAACGCGUGGGUAACCUGCCUCAUACAGGGGGAUAACAGUUAGAAAUGACUGCUAACACCGCAUAAUAUAGCGAAACCGCAUGAUUUUGCUAUCAAAUAUUUAUAGGUAUGAGAUGGGCCCGCGUCUGAUUAGCUAGUUGGUGGGGUAAAAGCCUACCAAGGCGACGAUCAGUAGCCGGCUUGAGAGAGUGACCGGCCACAUUGGGACUGAGACACGGCCCAAACUCCUACGGGAGGCAGCAGUGGGGAAUAUUGGACAAUGGGGGAAACCCUGAUCCAGCGAACCGCCGCGUGAGUGAAGAAGUAUUUCGGUAUGUAAAGCUCUAUCAGCAGGGAAGAUAAUGACAGUACCUGACUAAGAAGCCCCGGCUAACUACGUGCCAGCAGCCGC